GGUGAGAUGGCCGAGUGGUUGUGGCGCCGUGUUCAGGUUCACUGAGCAAUCAGGAUCACUAAGCAUUUCGCGGUGGAGCAAUCCGCGUGGGUUCGAGUCCCACUCUCAUCA
This 111-nucleotide transfer RNA is filed under the name Xylaria digitata. RNAcentral describes it as "tRNA-Leu". It matches the Rfam family "tRNA". From Rfam's summary of the family: Transfer RNA (tRNA) molecules are approximately 80 nucleotides in length. Their secondary structure includes four short double-helical elements and three loops (D, anti-codon, and T loops). Further hydrogen bonds mediate the characteristic L-shaped molecular structure. tRNAs have two regions of fundamental functional importance: the anti-codon, which is responsible for specific mRNA codon recognition, and the 3' end, to which the tRNAs corresponding amino acid is attached (by aminoacyl-tRNA synthetases). tRNAs cope with the degeneracy of the genetic code in two manners: having more than one tRNA (with a specific anti-codon) for a particular amino acid; and 'wobble' base-pairing, i.e. permitting non-standard base-pairing at the 3rd anti-codon position. Lineage: Eukaryota; Fungi; Ascomycota; Sordariomycetes; Xylariales; Xylariaceae. The record is from RNAcentral.